This 498-nucleotide ribosomal RNA is filed under the name uncultured bacterium. Its description in RNAcentral is "partial 16S ribosomal RNA". It matches the Rfam family "Bacterial small subunit ribosomal RNA", at positions 28 to 507 of the family's 1533-position model. The record is from RNAcentral.
GACGAACGCUGGCGGCGUGCCUAAUACAUGCAAGUCGAGCGGACGGAUGGGAGCUUGCUCCCAGACCGUCAGCGGCGGACGGGUGAGUAACACGUGGGCAACCUGCCUGUAAGACUGGGAUAACUCCGGGAAACCGGGGCUAAUACCGGAUAACUCUUUCCCUCACAUGAGGGAAAGCUGAAAGAUGGCAUCUCGCUAUCACUUACAGAUGGGCCCGCGGCGCAUUAGCUAGUUGGUGAGGUAACGGCUCACCAAGGCGACGAUGCGUAGCCGACCUGAGAGGGUGAUCGGCCACACUGGGACUGAGACACGGCCCAGACUCCUACGGGAGGCAGCAGUAGGGAAUCUUCCGCAAUGGACGAAUGUCUGACGGAGCAACGCCGCGUGAGUGAUGAAGGUGUUCGGAUCGUAAAACUCUGUUGUCAGGGAAGAACAAGUACCGGAGUAACUGCCGGUACCUUGACGGUACCUGACCAGAAAGCCACGGCUAACUACGUG